This 186-nucleotide non-coding RNA is filed under the name Gammaproteobacteria bacterium. RNAcentral's name for it is "6S RNA". It matches the Rfam family "6S / SsrS RNA". Rfam says of the family: E. coli 6S RNA was the first non coding RNA to be sequenced, but its function was unknown until recently. It consists of 184 nucleotides that fold into an extended hairpin structure with a large single-stranded internal bulge. The 6S RNA specifically associates with RNA polymerase holoenzyme containing the sigma70 specificity factor. Lineage: Bacteria; Pseudomonadati; Pseudomonadota; Gammaproteobacteria. The record is from RNAcentral.
CGCCCCCUGCGGUGUGCGUGGCGUUUCAGAAACCCUCUGAACCUAUAGCGAAACGCUUGGGAGCCGAAGCCGGAAGCCGGUGUGCAUGCCCACCCUCGAGCGGGAAGCCUGAAGGCCUCCCUGAGGCGCCCACUUGAACCACUCGGUUCAAGGAUCACGAAACGUCACGGCAUUCGCGGAGGGCGU